AGGAGAGUUUGAUCCUGGCUCAGGAUGAACGCUAGCGGCAGGCCUAACACAUGCAAGUCGAGGGGUAACGCGAGGUAGCAAUACUUCGGCGACGACCGGCGCACGGGUGCGUAACGCGUAUGCAACCUGCCCUGUACAGGGGGAUAACGGGGUGAAAAUCCCACUAAUAUCCCAUGGUGUCGCGAGGCCGCAUGACCUUGUGACUAAAGCUUCGGUGGUACAGGAUGGGCAUGCGUGACAUUAGCUAGUUGGCGGGGCAACGGCCCACCAAGGCGACGAUGUCUAGGGGAGCUGAGAGGCUAAUCCCCCACACUGGUACUGAGACACGGACCAGACUCCUACGGGAGGCAGCAGUGAGGAAUAUUGGUCAAUGGAGGGAACUCUGAACCAGCCAUGCCGCGUGAGGGAAGAAGGCCCUAUGGGUUGUAAACCUCUUUUGCCUGGGGGCAAUAAGGCGCAUGCGUGCGUUGAUGAGAGUACCAGGCGAAUAAGCAUCGGCUAACUCCGUGCCAGCAGCCGCGGUAAUACGGAGGAUGCGAGCGUUAUCCGGAUUUAUUGGGUUUAAAGGGUGCGCAGGCGGUCGAUUAAGUCAGCGGUGAAAUGUCCCGGCUCAACCGGGGAGCUGCCGUUGAUACUGGUUGGCUUGAGUGCGAACGGCGCCGGCGGAAUGAGUGGUGUAGCGGUGAAAUGCAUAGAUAUCACUCAGAACACCGAUCGCGAAGGCAGCUGGCGAGGACGUUACUGACGCUGAGGCACGAAAGCGUGGGGAUCAAACAGGAUUAGAUACCCUGGUAGUCCCCU
RNAcentral lists this ribosomal RNA (801 nucleotides) under uncultured Bacteroidota bacterium. RNAcentral's name for it is "bacterial SSU rRNA". It matches the Rfam family "Bacterial small subunit ribosomal RNA", at positions 1 to 799 of the family's 1533-position model. The record is from RNAcentral. Lineage: Bacteria; Pseudomonadati; Bacteroidota.